This 468-nucleotide ribosomal RNA is filed under the name uncultured bacterium. Its description in RNAcentral is "partial 16S ribosomal RNA". It matches the Rfam family "Bacterial small subunit ribosomal RNA", at positions 28 to 507 of the family's 1533-position model. The record is from RNAcentral.
GACGAACGCUGGCGGCGUGCUUAACACAUGCAAGUCGAACGGAAAGGCCCUGCUUUUGUGGGGUUCUCGAGUGGCGAACGGGUGAGUAACACGUGAGUAACCUGCCCUUGACUUUGGGAUAACUUCAGGAAACUGGGGCUAAUACCGGAUAGGAGCUCCUGCUGCAUGGUGGGGGUUGGAAAGUUUCGGCGGUUGGGGAUGGACUCGCGGCUUAUGAGCUUGUUGGUGGGGUAGUGGCUGACCAAGGCUUGGACGGGUAGCCGGCCUGAGAGGGUGACCGGCCACAAUGGGACUGAGAUACGGACCAGACGCCUACGGGAGGCAACAGGGGGGAAUAUGGCACAAUGGGCGGAAGCCUGAUGCAGCAACGCCGCGUGCGGGAUGACGGCCUUCGGGUUGAAAACCGCUUUCGCCUGUGACGAAGCGUGAGUGACGGUAAUGGGUAAAGAAGCACCGGCUAACUACGUG